UAAAAAAAAAAAAAAAAAAAAACUUCUAAGAAUGUGAUACAUCAGCGAUGGAUCUGGGAAAUUAUGGGAAAUGUCGAUGAUAAGGAUUAACAACUAUUUCCGUUUUAUACAAGGAAGACAAAAAUUGAGGACUUGCAAAAUGAGCAAUGAAUUCAAAAGACCAUUCAGAGCAAAUACGAGUGACCAAUAAGCAUAAUCGAAGUUGUUCAAAAACACUGGUAGUGAAGAAAUUAUCAAAGUCCCAGUGAAACUGGCACAAUUUAAAAAUCUACACCACCUAUGGCUGGGGCCCGGGGGUGCUGUGGGGAGAAGGGUGCCUCAGACAUGGCUGGAAAGGUGCAUGAUGACAGCCUUUAGGGGAAAGACAUGGACAUGGCUCUGUAAUUUUGAAACAUUCUUUGACCUAGAAAUCUCACCCUUUGGAAUUUAUCCCAUGGAAGCAAAUCCUCUAGUAUACAAAGGAUGGUUAUUGUUAAUAAUGGCAAAAAAUCGACUGCUCAUGGAUGAUGGAAAGAUAGAUAAUUUAUGGUAGAGCUAAAUCAAUAAAAUUUAGGAGUCAUUAGAAUGAAAAAGAACUAGAGUAGUUAAAUAGUAGAAAUCUCUGUGAAGUAUUACUGAAGGAGAAAAUCAAGGUGCAGAGAAGUCUGUAUAAAAUGAGCACAUUUGGGUAAAGCAAUAGCAAUUGUUUGAAUAUGCUUGAAUACCUGUUUGUGUUUAUGUGAGUGUGUAAAUGAGCAGACGAAGAUACAUUUGUGUCUGUGUGUGCUUGUAUAAGCAAGGGUAAGAGAGACUACUUACCACAUUGUUAACCUCAAUUUCCUUGGAUUCACUUCUGGAAAAGGACUGGGGGGGAGGAGAGCUAGAACAUGCAGGAAGAGUGGACUUAGAAAGCACGGGUGAUAUGUGUUUCCACUUUAGUAGUGUUAUAUAUGAGUCAGUCUAGAUAGUGUACACAGUAAUUGUUCUCAUCUAUUUAAAUGCUUUAUGUGUAAAUAUGAGUUCAAUCUUAGAAGACCCAAAAAGGUAGUGUUAGUGUCAUACCUAAUGACCUUCAGGGAAUCAGCAAUUUACAGAGCACUGUGGGUAGAGUAUGACACAAUUUCCGUUAAAGCAAACGAACCAGGGGAUCUACUUGUGAACCUGUGACUGUGUGUAUGUGUCCCAGCUGAGAAAUGUAGGGAAAGAUACACAUGUGUCUAUUAACUUUGGACACCUUGGGGGUGCAGGACCAAAUUACAUAUGAGGGUGGGACCAUGAUUGUAACUUUUUCAUUAUACAAAUCUGUACCCUUAGAGGUGUUAUACAAAAGACUUUUAGAGCUUUGAAAGUUGAUAAACAUCAUCAUAGAUACAUUAUUUUAAAAACAUUUUGUUGGAUUUUUUUUGAACAGGGGGAAAAUAUCUUUAACAACAGACACAAAGAUUUUAAUCACUGGAAGAAGAGCACACCACAGACUGCUCAACAGUCAGAUCCAGCAGAUUUCACGCUUGUUCUUGGAGACAAUGAGCUCUUCUGGUCUCUACACCUGGAAAUGACCAGCGAGAAUUUUGUAAGGGUCCAUGAAGUUACUCCUCAAACGUUUCUUGCAGGUACAUGUCUACAGAUAAAGGAAGAAGGCUGGACACCACAUGCAGUUCACUAGUCAAAGAAUUGAAGAAAAAGGUCGACUCAGAGGAAAGAAGCAAACAGAGGGCAGGCUUCUAAACCCAGAGAGAACAGCAAGAACACAGGUGAUCAGAGGUGAGGGUGGGAAGGGGCAGAUUCAGGCCCAGACUAAGUAGUGGACAGAAAAGCCCAAAUCUCAGCCAUAGCAUCAGGUCCCAGGUCUGGACAUGACAGGGACGUAGCCAUCUCCCUGGAAGAUGAGACCUCUACUGUCACAGGGAAGCCUUCGGGGGCACAGGAAGGGAGGGCAGGACCUCCAGAAUGAGCACCUCCAACCACAGGCUGUCCUGUGUGGAUUUCUCAGAGUGACAGAGACAGCUCCUGAAUAGAACAGCGUCAGAGAUAGAGGGCAGUGAAGGCUUUUGGGACAGGUGAAUUUGGCAGUCUCCUAAGGAUCCAAAAGGAAAAUCAGAGAUUCUCAAAGGUAUCAGAGUGGGAGAGGUUGGCAUUCCCAGGUUGGGGAGAAGCUGGUUGGGGAGGUACUGCUUUCUGAAAUCUUUUCAUCAAACUCUCUUCUCUUCUUCAACUAUCUUCUCAGUUGACGUCAUCUAUGCUCAGUCCUGAAAAGGGUCUAGAAUGCACAAGGGUGGGUUAUUCGGUGUGGCAAGGUGGGGAGGAGGUAGUGGCAGCAUAUCCGGGAAAGAGAAUCUUCUAGAGGCACAUGAGCUACCUAGUGAACUGCACAUGGUGUCCAUUCUCCUUCAUUUAGCUGUAGAUGUGUGUUUGUAAGAGGUGAUUGACUUCCCCAAAUUAUUUUUGCUCAUUUCUAGUUACAGAUACCAGAAGAGCACAUUGGCUCCAGGAACAUGCAAGAAAUCCACUGAUUGUGAUUAUUACUGUCUGUGGGGGAAAAUAUCUUUAACAACAGACACAAAGAUUUUAAUCACUGGAAGAAGAGCACACCACAGACUGCUCAACAGUCAGAUCCAGCAGAUUUCACGCUUGUUCUUGGAGACAAUGAGCUCUUCUGGUCUCUACACCUGGAAAUGACCAGCGAGAAUUUUGUAAGGGUCCAUGAAGUUACUCCUCAAACGUUUCUUGCAGGUACAUGUCUACAGAUAAAGGAAGAAGGCUGGACACCACAUGCAGUUCACUAGUCAAAGAAUUGAAGAAAAAGGUCGACUCAGAGGAAAGAAGCAAACAGAGGGCAGGCUUCUAAACCCAGAGAGAACAGCAAGAACACAGUUACAGAUACCAGAAGAGCACAUUGGCUCCAGGAACAUGCAAGAAAUCCACUGAUUGUGAUUAUUACUGUCUGUGGUAUGCUCUCUUUUCAGUGAUUAAAAUCUUUGUCUGUCACAGAGAAUUUUCACCUAUUUAAAAAUAUAUGUCUAUGUCACUUACUGAUUUCCAAAGCUAUGAAAUUCUUUUUCAUUACAUGUUUAAGAAUACAAAUUUGUAUAAUGAAAAAUUACAUGCAGAGUCCCACCCUCAUGUAUAUAUUGCUCCUGCUCCCCCGAGGUAUCCAACGUUAAUAGACACAUGUGUACCCUUCCCUAGGUUUCUCUGCUGGGACAUGUAUACACAGUCACAGGUACACAAGUAGAUCUGCUGGGGUGUUUGCUUUUAUGGAAACUUGGUCACACUCUACCCACAUUGCUCUUGCCCCUUCUUUCACUUGACAUUCUAUCUUGAUUCUCUGUAAGUCAUUAGAUAUGGCACUAACUCUACAUUUUUAUGUCUUCUAAGUUACACACAUAAAUUAAAUAGAUAAUAACAAUUAUAGUACACUUUAUCUAGACUUAGACAUGUUGUUAGGUGCUAUCGAGUUGGCUCUGACUCACAGCGACCCUAUGCACAACACAACAAAACACUGCCUGGUCCUGGUUGCUAUAUUUGAGCCCACUCUUGUAGCUACUGUCAGUCAAUCUCAUUGAGGGUCUUCCUCUUAUUCGCUGGACCUCUGCUUUACCAAGCAUGGUGUCCUUCUCCAGGGACUGGUCCCUUCUGAUAACAUGUCUAAAGCCAUCCUUGCUUCUAAGGAACAUUCCAGCUUCUUUCAAGACAGAUUUGUUCGUCUCAUACGUAACACUACUAAAAUGGAAACAUUUUAUCACCUAAGCUUUUUAAGUCCACUCUUCCUGCAUUUUCCAGCUCUCCUCCCCCAUUCUUUCCCACGAGUGAAGCCAAGGUAAUUCAUUUCGACCAUGUGGUAAGUAGUCUGUCUUAUCCUUACUUAAAUAAGCACACACAGACAUACAUGCACCCUCGUCUGUUCAUUUAUACACACACAUAUAUGUGAACAGGUAUUCAAGCGUAUUCAAACAAUUGCUAUUGUUUUACACAAAUGUGCUCGUUUUUUAUAUACUUCUCUGCACCUUAAUUUUUUCAGUAAACUUUAAUAACACUUCACAGAGAUUUCUCCUACUUAACUACGACAGCUCUUUUUCAUUCUAAUGACUCCCUAUGUUAUUGAUGAUGUAGUUUUACCAUACAUUCUCUAUCAUUCCACCACCAACGGACAGUCAAUGUUUUGUCAUUGUUAAUAAUAAACAGCCUUUGUAUAGUAUAGGAUUCGAUUCUGUGGAGUAGACUCCACGGAGUGAGAUUUCCAGUUCAAAGAAUGUUAAAAGUACAGGGCCAUGGCCAUGUCUUUCCCCUAGAGGCUGUCAUAAAGCACCCUUCCAGCCAUGUCUCAGGGUUUCAUUCUCCCCACAGCCCAGCCAGCUAUAGGUGGUGUUGCUUUUUAAAUUGGGCCAGUUUCACUGACACCUUAAUAUUUUUUUAACUACCUGUGUUUUUGAGCAACUUGGAUUAUGUAUAUUGGGCAUGUGGAUUUGCUCUGAAUGAUCUGUUUGAAUUCACUGCUCAUUUUUCAAGUACUUAACCUUUAUCCUUCUGUGUAAAAUGUAAAUUUUUAUUAAUCCUUAUCUACUUUCACAUAAUUUUCCAAACCUAUGAUUUGUGUAUCAUAUUUUUGCAAGUUUUGUCCCCCAGAUCAGUUGAGUCAGCACCAUUUAUUAAAUAAAUACAAUUUUCACACCACCUUUGUAUGAAUGGUUAUUGUGAUUUCUUAGUAGAUUUUCUAUUGCAAUUGUCUACUUGUCAGUUUCUAUGCUAUGUAAUAUUGAUUUGUUCUGCUACUUGAUUGGGUAGACAUCUGUUACUAUUCUGCUAUUUCAUGUUUUUCUUGUCUAUUCUUUGGUAGUGCAGCCCUGCUGUUGCAAUGGCUAAGUGCUUGACUGCUAAAUGAAAGAAAGUUUGGCAGGUCGAACCCAUCCACUGGCUCUGAGGGAGAAAGACCUGGCGGUCUGCUCCCGUAAAGAUUACAGCCUAUAAAAGCCUAUUGGGCAGUCAAAUGGGAGGGCUAUGAGUCAAAAAUCUUGUCCAAGGCUCCAAACGACAACAUUCUUUGUUAUCUAUUGUACUAUUUGUAGCUUACGAUUAGUGUAUACAAUUAAAAAACAACUACCUGAAUAUUCUAACUGGAAAUGCAUUCCAUUUAUGUAUUAGUUUUGGGACCUCCAUUUAAUUAACAAGACUUCCCAUUUGGAAAUAUGGCAUAUUUUAUGCACAUAUUCAGGUUCCAUUUUAUUUACCUUAAUACAUUAGUUUUCUUUGUAUAGGUCCUUUGCUGCUCCAGUCAAAACAAUGUUUUCCUAAAUAUUUUAUAGUUUUGGACACAGUUUGCCACUGUCAAGUACUAGGGGAAAGAGAACGAUCAGCCCUUCCCACCCUUGCCAAUUUCAGUCCCUUAUGUCCACAUGGGAGAGAAACCAUUGAUUUUGAAGUACUUGUCUUUUAUUCGGGUAUGCAAUUAUAUCAUCAUUAUUUUGAAAAUCUGUUUUUGUACUUAUA
Long non-coding RNA from Loxodonta africana (African savanna elephant), 5463 nucleotides. RefSeq lists it as uncharacterized. The record is from RefSeq and is a predicted model, not a curated record. Lineage: Eukaryota; Metazoa; Chordata; Mammalia; Proboscidea; Elephantidae. The transcript has 5 exons.